GAGUUUGAUCCUGGCUCAGGAUGAACGCUGGCGGCGUGCUUAACACAUGCAAGUCGAACGGGAAUUACUUUAUUGAAACUUCGGUCGAUUUAAUUUAAUUCUAGUGGCGGACGGGUGAGUAACGCGUGGGUAACCUGCCUUAUACAGGGGGAUAACAGUCAGAAAUGACUGCUAAUACCGCAUAAGCGCACAGAGCUGCAUGGCUCAGUGUGAAAAACUCCGGUGGUAUAAGAUGGACCCGCGUUGGAUUAGCUAGUUGGUGGGGUAACGGCCCACCAAGGCGACGAUCCAUAGCCGGCCUGAGAGGGUGAACGGCCACAUUGGGACUGAGACACGGCCCAGACUCCUACGGGAGGCAGCAGUGGGGAAUAUUGCACAAUGGGGGAAACCCUGAUGCAGCGACGCCGCGUGAAGGAAGAAGUAUCUCGGUAUGUAAACUUCUAUCAGCAGGGAAGAAAAUGACGGUACCUGACUAAGAAGCCCCGGCUAACUACGUGCCAGCCGCCGCGGUAAUAC
RNAcentral lists this ribosomal RNA (516 nucleotides) under uncultured bacterium. Its description in RNAcentral is "bacterial SSU rRNA". It matches the Rfam family "Bacterial small subunit ribosomal RNA", at positions 9 to 526 of the family's 1533-position model. The record is from RNAcentral.